Cryptomeria japonica (Japanese cedar) is the source of this 3385-nucleotide long non-coding RNA. RefSeq lists it as uncharacterized. The transcript has 3 exons. The record is from RefSeq and is a predicted model, not a curated record. NCBI's taxonomy places the organism in Eukaryota, Viridiplantae, Streptophyta, Pinopsida, Cupressales, Cupressaceae.
CACCCACUUAAAAAAUAUUCUUAAAAAAUAUCUGGAACACCAGCUCUAUUUUUUAAGAAGCCCCCUCCACAUGACCCCAGCCUUUGUGAGGUGUUCUCCAUUUUAUUCCUACAGCGACUGACCGGCUGAAAAAACAAAUCCGGUUAUUCUGUGUAAAUUUGAGAUGGACAUAAUUUUCUCCCGAGAGUUCUACUUCACAUUAUCUCGUUCUCUCUUGUGAAAUCACCCUAAUAAUCUCACUCUGGAUAUUCUCCUCCAGAGGGUGAGAGUGCAAUGGGAGUUGGGCUUUAUGUCUUUCUGUUUCUCACGCAGGUAAUUCAGUAGAUGCUGCCGAUCUACAGAAGGUUGAAUAAUAGAAGUGAAAUACUUAUCCAGAUCUCAUUAUGGGAGCUGCAUUGAUAUUUCAGAGAUCAUUACUUGCAUUAUCCAACGGAAGGAGAAGAACCCAUAUCAGUUGCUGCUGAAGUUGACAAGGAUAGAGUAACAUGUUUCUGAAAAUGGAUCCAACUGGUCGAUCAAAAAGAGCGGUUGUAUUUUUGUGGUUUGGAGCUGUUGGUAGAAGCAAUUAGGGCAACAAGUGUUUCGAUCUGACGUUCUACAAAUUCUGCAGACUUAUGGAACAAAGCUGUUCCAACAAUCAUGUUAAGCAGUUACAGCAGCAAAUGCUGUGGCACUUUUUCGGUCAAAAAUUCGAGCAGAGCAGUUAUGUGGGAAUGUCAGGAACAGUUAAUAAAGGGUUUUAGAGAAGAGUUACAUUGUAUAUGCCUGUUUAUUGAAAAUCAUCUUGCAGCAAGUGCCCUCCCUAACUUUUGCCAGGAGAUUUACCCUGCCUUCCAAGUAGGAUGAGGGUUCUUCUAACCACACGCAGGUUUGAUAAGACUGACAUACUUUUGGAGAGAGGUUUUCCAUUUGAGGUAGAGUUGCUUUCUCACUUAGACUGGGAAAAGCUUUUAUAUAAAAUAGCUCUUGUCAGUGCUAAAACAUUGCAUCUGAAAGGCAUUGAGAGCAUAGAUCUGGACAAAAUUGUGAAAAUAUGGUGUGGAAUUCCUUUAGUUUUAGAAAUAGUCGGGCCUAAAUUUAAAAAGAAUUGAUGCUCAUGAUACAAUAAGCUUUGACUACUUGUUUUCAUUGGAAGAUUUGGUUUCAAAAGGCUAUGAUGUAUCAGUAGCAAUUCCAACAAACUUUGGCCUGCUAAAGCCUUGAAUUGUUUUGAAGGCAAGUUAGUGUCCUGUUUUUUAAAUGUUAAACUUAUCCGAGUACAUUAAAUUGGCUAGUCUCUCUUCCAACUUUGGACAGCUCACAACUUUAAAAGCUGUAUUUGUGGAGAAAUGUAGCGCUUUGACUACUUUGUCCAACAGCUUUGGCAAUCUAUCUUCUUUGUGGGAUAAACUCUUUGCAUUGCCUAAAGGCUUUGGUGGACUAUCUACUUUGAAGUUUGUAGAUUUUAGUGGCUGUUCCAACUUAGAGAGUUGUGCAGAGCGAUUUGAUCAGCUGACUUGUUUGAAAGUCAUGUGGGAGAAUGUGGACACUUGUCUAGUCUUUCUGACAAUUUUGGAAAGUUUAGCAUUAAAUCUUUGGAAUAUAUAGGCAUGGAUAGUUGCAACAAUUUGAAGAUGCUUAACAGUGCUUGUGGAUUUUUAGUUUCAUUGAUAGCGCUGGAUACAGGGUGAAAGUAAUCAGUUGGCACGUUGUUUGUUAUUUAAGCUUUAUUCUAGAUGUAUCACAUUGCCAAGCUUUGAAGAAAGAGUCAGUGGAUAUCCUAAUUGAGAUACAAAGUUAACUAUUUUAAAGAAUGAAUGGAUCUUCGCCAGUGAUUCAGUGGCAGAAACAAAUAAGAUAGCAUAAUCCAAUGAUGUGGUGAGUAUGAACAGAAGUGCUACUAUGGUAUUUCCUGGUUUGUAAGACAUGUUUGUGGUUACAAUUGCUAUUCUUAUCUUCUCAUAUUGCAUCUCUGAUUGAUGAGCUCCUAUACUGCACAGUGCGGAGCAUGCACUAAUUCAUAGUGAAAGCAGAUUUGUGGGCAUUGAUGGUGAUGGUUGACAGUUGGUAGAGUGCUUUUGAUCUUGUUUUUCAGGGGAAGAAAAAGAAAGCAGAAGUGAAAGUAUGGUUGACAAUGUGCAGAAUUAGAAACACGAAUGGCAGAGAGCAGUGGUAGCGGAGAGUUCCAGAUUCAUCAGAGAAGAGGAGCAAAUAUAGCACUCUCUCCAACUAUUACACACCUACACUUGUGCUUGCAUACCUGCCAACAAUAGAACAGGCCAAUUAUUCGCAAAUUGCUUUUUAUAGCCUAAUCAACGUGAGUUGUACACAAUUCAGUUUUUUCGCACAUAUAUUGUUGGAUUAAGAGUCCAGGUGCACAGACAUAGAAAUGGGAGGAUUUCCUGAGUCCCUUCUUUGUUAGCGAUUACACAGAGGAGGAUGAACGGGAAACAGGAUAAAAGAUGAUUUGGAUCAUGGGGAUGGAUUCAAGAGACUAUUCUCCACUGUAAACUUACAUAAUCUGCUUUAAGGGAUUCUCCCUUCCAGAUGGCUCUGAGACAUGGGAUGAUGAGAACUGUUUUUCUUUUUAAUGCUGGAGGCAUUCUGAGGCAUUCUACACUAGCAGGCAAGGGUUGAGGUUUGUAUGAGAAUUCUUAUUUUCUUCAUGUCAAGAGGCUUUCAUUCCAUGACGUGGAUAAAUAUUUAUCCAUUUCAAGAGAAGCUCAGGCAAAAGUAAGGGUAAAUUACUAAAUAAUUUACAAGAUCUUUUCCCUCAUUCAAUUAACUAUAUUAUUUGAAGUUGUGCCUACUUAUUAGACUUGAGUAGCUGUUGUUCAAGGUAGGUUACUAUUCAAACCUGCUUUCACAUGUAUUUUUGGAUUAAGAGCCCAGAUGCGGAAAGAGAGAGUUGGCUGAAUUCUAAAGUGAAUGCUUUCCAAAUGAAUACUAGCAAUGGGAAACACUGAUAGAUCAAGGAGGCGAUCAUUGAGACUAUUCUCUACGUCAGAUUUAUUUUACUUGUAGACAUUGCCAACAGAAUUGCCAAAAAGGUGACUAAUUCUUCCUUCUAGAGGGACUCUUCCACAUGUGUGGAGCACUAUAUUUUGUUUUUAGUAUAAUUAUGGAAGGUUCAGCAAUUCCUCCCAGAGAUUUUAGCUGGUUUGAUGCGCCUGCCCAAGGCAGGUGUUCUUCUCGCUCACCGCUGCUUUGCAGCAGAGAGAGGGGGCCAUAAAAGCAUUGCACUAGAGGGUUUUGUGAUACCCAAGGGUUUAGCUGGUGUACCAUUCAUUGUAAAAUAAUGAAGGCAUCUUUCUUGCAUUUCUCUUGUAACAUUCGUGGUUGUUAAUGUUAUGUUUCAUAAGCUUGUUGCAAGUGGAAAUCUUCAAAUAUUUUGCGGGUUUCUGCC